UCUCCCGAAGGGAUGACAAUNNGGAUAGAAUGCGAGCUUGCGGAGCUUGUGAUGCAGGUUCGAUUCCUGCCGGGGGCACCA
This 81-nucleotide transfer RNA is filed under the name Candidatus Veblenbacteria bacterium. RNAcentral describes it as "tRNA-Arg". Lineage: Bacteria; Candidatus Vebleniibacteriota. The record is from RNAcentral.